RNAcentral lists this unclassified non-coding RNA (1300 nucleotides) under Athalia rosae (coleseed sawfly). RNAcentral's name for it is "misc RNA ENSAEAG00005005860.1". Lineage: Eukaryota; Metazoa; Arthropoda; Insecta; Hymenoptera; Athaliidae. The record is from RNAcentral.
AAAUUAUCUAUGUGUGCAGUCUUUGAAUCUAGUUGUUCAAAAACUAAACGAUCCUGCGGGUUGAUUAGUACAAUCGAAGAGUAGACUUGACCGUUGCAUAUUUUUCACUCUAUAUCCGAGCAAUCAUGUGAUUCAACUUUUCUAUUUAUUGAUCUAUGAGCUGGUUAUGAGCGCCCAAGUUUAUCGUGCAACGUCUCGACUUACAUCCGGUAAAAACAAACCACAAGGAGCCGUCGAACUACCAAUUAAACGCAUUUCAUGUGUCUCUGAAAGACGAUCUAGCGCUGUUCAACUGUGUAGGUAUUGCAGUUACUGCUUCAGGCCGGAAAAUAAAAUAAAUACGAAGCACUUCGAAGGAAUUUUAAUAUAAACGGGCAAAACGUGAAGGAGGCGAGGAGGUUUUUGGGCCACGCGAACGUUGGCGCCGAACUCUUGAAGCGAGUCUCGCCUCCAACCGACUGACAAGUGAUCCACAAGUCUUCGUUACGCAGCUGAAACUUACACUUAAUAUCUUUUACGUACACGCCGCCCACAGGAUCGACAUGUUUACCCAUCACUACCCCCCCACUACCAAUUUCAUUCCCACGUGGAUAACACGCGGGUCUCGUUUUAUCACCAGUUUGAUACCCCAUCGAUCGAAUAUGAAUCAAUUGAAAGAGAGGAAGGUUUUAUAUCGGUAAUCCUUUUGCUCGAGUCAUUCGAAUUACCUAAUUCAUCGCACCGGUGGAAUUUUAAACCAUGACAAAAAAAAAAAUGACCUAUAGCUACUCAUAAUUUCAUUCGAUCUAUCUCUUUUUUUUUCCACUUCGCGAAAUACAUGAUGAAAGAUACCAUCAGCAUGCAGUGACGAUUGAACUUCCUUAUCGCACGUUCCGUUUUAGUUUAAGUUUUUUCCUCAUUUGGUUUUAAGUGCUCGGUCGAUUUACGAUAUAAUUUUGUGAUACUAUUGCAGUGUGUGUGGUGUGGAAUUUUUCAUUAUGUAAUGCUACAUUUUUCUAAUCGUCUAUAAGAUUCUAAUCUCCAAAAGCCAAUUACUUGAAGACUUGCGUUCGGAUCAAGUUACUCCUAAGCUAUGCACUGAAAUGUGGAACUUGUAACGAUGAUGACAUUGAAACAGUAAUUAUCUCCAAGAAUUUAUUACUAUAGUUCGUUACUUAAACGAGGCUCGUUCAAACAUCAUUGACCGACGAUAUUUUUUCUGCGCACCAUUUUUCUCGCCUGCUACAUCGUCCACUGUACCUAUAAACAGAAAUCGGUGCGGGUGAUAAUUGUGAUAUGAAUAUGAAGUAGCGCCGCGCGA